CUUCCCUCAGCGAUAUUUCAUUUGUACCGAUCCGUUUGAGUUCAUUUCAAUUUCGCUAAAUUCAGAUCGAGAUCCACAAGAAAAAAACCCUAAUUUUGUUUUCAGAUCCAAAAUGGACGCUCUCGAUACUGUUUUCGAUCCUCUUAGAGAUUUCGCCAAAGACAGCGUAAGGCUCGUCAAAAGGUGCCACAAGCCUGAUCGCAAAGAAUUUACCAAGGUUGCAACCCGUACGGCGAUCGGUUUUGUUGUGAUGGGAUUCGUUGGAUUUUUCGUCAAGUUGAUAUUCAUUCCAAUCAACAACAUCAUCGUUGGUGCUUCUUAAGUGGUAAUUAUGUUAGGAUAUGUCGUACAGUAGGCUUGCAUGUACUAAUAUUCAAGUGGUGCCACGAGUUAAGUCAAAGGAUCAAAAUUGAGCACUUUUUGCCUUAGAAAGGGGGGUGAUCCAUGUUACCCUUAGCUGUACACGGGAAAUGUUGGACUUUCUACCUAUAGUUGGAGCUUGGGUUCUGUGAUAGAUUUUGAUGCUCCAAUAAGUUACUUCAGAAAAGGCAUAAUGCUUAAGGUAGUUCAUCCGAAUCAACAUAUAGUCCGUAUUAAGGGUUCAUCCAACCAAAUACUGAAAUUACUGUGGGGUUCUUGUAAAAACAAUAGUAUCAUCAUUUCAUAUUGCUAUGCUCUUUCCUUAAUUUUCAUUAGCUAGAACAGACAUCAUUUUAGCUCAUCUAAAGUCAUGAGGAGAGAAGAAACAUGAUUAUCUCGAAGUUGCUUGUUGAUUAAUAAUUUGUCUUUUACCUAUUAAAAUAUCUUAAGAAGCAAUAUGUAAUUAUGUCUGGAGGGUUCAGAUUGGUAAUAACACCAUUAUGUGACUAGACAUUCUCUCUUUUUUAAUCUUCUGUUUUGUGGUAUUCUUGUUUUCACUUAAUUAUCAUGGAUGCCACCAAUUCCAAAUCACACUCCAGCUCCUGAAAGAAAUGAAAGAGUAAACACUCUUUCCCUCUUUCUCUUCUUUAUUUUAUCUGUCACGAGGAAUUGCUAUUCAUAUUACUGCUAUCAAGAAAAGAAGAGAUAUAAUCACAUAAAACCAAAUGAAAUUAAA
Solanum pennellii is the source of this 1096-nucleotide RNA transcript. It is a transcript of the gene named protein transport protein Sec61 subunit gamma-1-like, with no coding region annotated. NCBI's taxonomy places the organism in Eukaryota, Viridiplantae, Streptophyta, Magnoliopsida, Solanales, Solanaceae. The record is from RefSeq and is a predicted model, not a curated record. The transcript has 4 exons.